Molecule: ribosomal RNA, 512 nt
Filed under: uncultured bacterium
Lineage: Bacteria
Description: bacterial SSU rRNA
Rfam family: Bacterial small subunit ribosomal RNA
Source: RNAcentral
GACGAACGCUGGCGGCGUGCCUAACACAUGCAAGUCGAACGGACGAGACUUCUUCGGAAGUCAAGUUAGUGGCGGACGGGUGAGUAACACGUGGGUAAUCUACCUUCGAGUCUGGAAUAACAGUUAGAAAUGAUUGCUAAUACCGGAUGAAAUUGGGAACGAAAUUUCAUUCUUUAUUAAAAGGAGCCUUUAAAGCUUCGCUUGAAGAUGAGCCUGCGACGUAUUAGCUAGUUGGUGGGGUAAGGGCCUACCAAGGCAACGAUGCGUAGCCGACCUGAGAGGGUGAUCGGCCACACUGGGACUGAGACACGGCCCAGACUCCUACGGGAGACAGCAGUUAGGAAUAUUCGUCAAUGGGGGAAACCCUGAACGAGCAAUGCCGCGUGAAGGAUGACGGUCCUAUGGAUUGUAAACUUCUGUUGUUAGGGAAGAACGACUAGUGUAGGAAAUGACACUAGAGUGACGGUACCUUUCAAGAAAGCUCCGGCUAACUACGUGCCAGCAGCCGCGGU